RNA transcript from Labrus mixtus (cuckoo wrasse), 3140 nucleotides. It is a transcript of the gene named WAP four-disulfide core domain 1, with no coding region annotated. The record is from RefSeq and is a predicted model, not a curated record. Lineage: Eukaryota; Metazoa; Chordata; Actinopteri; Labriformes; Labridae. The transcript has 7 exons.
UGCCAGCACACAGUUCAGCUCUCAGCAACUGAUGCACAGACAGCUGCUGUUUUCUCCCUUCCCCACCUCCUGCUCCCCUAACCAUUCUCCUUUUUCUUUCAAUUUCUUUCCUACACUGCCUCCAUUCAUCCCCUCUGUACUUUCCCCUUCCUUCCCUCUACUUUGUCAUUCUGAUCUGUACUUUUCCUCAGGCGGAUAAAAAAAGGCAGGUCCUGGUGCAGGGAGAGGGCUUGUGUAAUCUCUGGCUGCACAUGAGCACCGGAGAGUUAUUGCUUCAGCUGGAAAAGCAACACAGCAGAGGACCCGCUAACACUUAAAGGACAAACUUUGGAAUAAGGAGAGGAGUAAGGAACACUUGUUGUGACAGGAAGAGACGAGAGGAACAGUUUGGAGUUUUGGGUGCAGGACAGAGACCAUGCCGGGCUCUGUGCUGCUGCUGCUUCUGUCCCUGUUGGUCCUGUCCACAGGAAGUGAUGCCAGAAGAAUAAGGAAAAGAGGACUCAACCACAAGGACUAUGAGUACCAAAACCACCCCCAGUCCACACAGCACCAGAAGAAUGACCGGUGUCCACCACCACCACAGAUGCUGCCAGAGAGAGCGUGCGAGGUGCCGGGCUGCCGCUCAGACUCCGAGUGUGAGCGCCAUAAACGCUGCUGCUACAAUGGCUGCAUCUACGCUUGCUUGGAGUCAGUCCAGCCACCACCAGUGUUGGAUUGGCUGGUGCAGCCCAAACCUCGGUGGUUGGGGGGAAACGGCUGGCUGUUGGACGGUCCCGAGGAGGUUCUGCAGGCUGAGGCCUGCAGCACAACAGAGGAUGGAGACGAGCCUCUUCACUGUCCCACAGGCUACGAGUGCCACAUCAUCAACCAAGGAAACCCUGCUGCUGGAAUCCCUAACAGAGGACAGUGCAUCAAGCAACGCGCCAACUCUGAUGGACGGGGUCUGAGGCACAAAUACUUCAAGGACUACAAGGACUACUUGGGUAAGUGAGGUACCAGUUCUAACAAUGCAGUCGGCUAUGAAAAACAUCAUCACAAGCACCUGCAGGGAUAAAAUCCACCCUGACCUCAGCUUCAUCGACGACCGUAACACAACCUCAGACAUCAGCACACUCCUCAUCAAUCUGCUCUCAUCACACCUGAACCAGGACCACACCUGACCUUUGUUUUAACUCUUACAGCGGCUACCUCCUCUUCGUAAAAGCCUCUCUUGCAGUUGGUGCCAUCGCAAAAUCCUUCAAAGGACAAUCAAACGUACAGUAAACAGCCAAAGAAAUGAGUGCUCCUUUUAUUUCCCUUCUCUGUCUGGUGUUUGUGAAAGGAUGAUGAUGGUUGAGCAGACGAGAGGUGAGCUGAGUUUGCACCAAAGAUUAUUUUCCAAAUGUCUCAGAAGGAAAAAGGAAACUCGAGCCUUUUUAAGUCAUGUCAUGUUUUCACUUUGCAGCCAUCUCCCGCCCUUCACUGCAUUCUUAUUCUCACACACAAACACACUGGGUAUUUCUAAGGCCAGUCAACAGAGGAAAUCAGAACCAUAUGGCCUCUCACUCAUCUGUCUCUCUUAUUCUCAAAAGGAAACAGUUCGAAUUUCCUGAUCUUUACUCUGGAAGGUUUCAUUGAAAAAUAGGUCAAAUUCCAGCCAAAUUUCUCUGCUUCUUUCAUCAAAUCCAAAUGUAGUUUUAUAAUCUGUAGAAUAACAACUCAUAGACCUGAUUUAAACAUAACUGCCAUAUUAGUGUUUUGAUGUUUUUAAAUAUUUGGAUCAUCAUAUAGGUGCUACUUAAAGGUCACAUAUUGUGCAAACCAUGUUUCUCUAACACUUGUGUCCCAAGUCUGUCUGCAAACCCCCCAGUCAUGAGAAAAGUCCAUCCUCUCUGUCUUUUGCCUGCUCCACUUUUCAGAAAAUGUGUGCUCAAACAGGCCAUUUCGAGAUUUUCCCUUUGUGACAUCACAAAGGGCAGUAACCCGUCCCCCAGGUGGGUGACACUCCCACAGCUAGGUAUUUGUUCUGCCCUCUGAGUCCGCCUUCUUACCAUAAACAAUAGGGCAUGGUGCAUGAAAGCCCAAGCCCUUCCAGAGAGGGGGCGUGGUCAGACACAGCUCAUUUACAUUUAAAGGUACAGACACAGAAACAGCCUGUUCUGAGCAGGGCUGAAAUAGAGGGGUUUAUAGUCAUGAUCAAAUACAGGAUCAGAGUGGAUUUAGAACAAGAAACUUCACACACAUGUUUUGAGAAUCUCUGAGACUUGUUGAAAAGGAGUGUAAUAUGUGACCUUUAAAACUCCUGUGAGGAACUUUCAGUUUGUGAUGAUUUUGGUGCCCCAUGUUGACAAAGCAGUGUAUUUCUCUCUUCACUGAUUUUGUCCUGUAAAUGAGUAGGUAGUCCAAAAAUCUCAUUCUCCUUUCUUUAGCAAUCAAACGUAUUACUUAUUGUGAAUAAUUGCUGUGUAAAAUGUUAAAGAAAGGAUGUUUCUUCAGGAUGCUGAAAAUCUUCUCCUCUUCCCCCUCAAAAAAAAGUACAAAUCGUCAAUCUUCUGGCUGAUGAUUUUGUUUCCUUUUGGUGGUUAUAAAGAGGCUUCAGAAACUAUUUCAGUCUGUUUCAUAAUGCGUUACAAAACUCUUUGCAGGAGCUUUAAAUAUGAUAAAAUAUGUAAUUCAAUUGAGACAGAUUGAGGCAUAUUUGACUUACCUGUGAUAAACCAUAAAAACAGAUAAGCCUACAUGCAAGUGAUACUGAAUUUGAUGAUUUGGGAUUUUUUAUAGAAGUGAAGUAUGGAACAAGUAAUACAACUAAAAUCUACCCAUGCAGUUUAUUAUUUAUCACUGAAUACUUUAUUUUUGACUUCAUAUCAAACAACAAAAAAAGGCUCAUACGCACAAAGCAGAUAUUUAAAAUUGGUCAAAGUUACUCUGUUUUUAUCCUCCAGCUUACUUUGCUUCUGCUGUUCCUCAAGUUGUCUCAGUUCAAAUGGUGCUACGUUUCAUUGCUGCCGAUACUCUCAGAACAAUAAGCUGGUCACAUGAUAAGCUGAAGGUGAGAAACUGUUACCAUUCUCUGUGUGCAGAUAUAAAGUGAUGUCUGAAUGUUGCCUUCUGACUGGUGCUGUAAUCUUGUUAUAAAUAAAAACAUUUUGGAAAUCUUA